AAUGAACGUUGGCGGCGUGGAUUAGGCAUGCAAGUCGAGCGCGAACCGUAGCAAUACGGGGAGAGCGGCGAAAGGGAGAGUAAUACGUGGAUACCUGCCCUCGGGUUCGGGAUAGCUACGGGAAACUGUAGGUAAUACCGAAUAACAUCUUCGGAUCAAAGGUGUGAUUCCGCCCGGGGAGGGGUCCGCGUCCUAUUAGCUAGUUGGUGAGGUAACGGCCCACCAAGGCGAAGAUGGGUAUGGGGUGUGAGAGCAUGACCCCACUCACUGGGACUGAGACACGGCCCAGACACCUACGGGUGGCUGCAGUCGAGAAUCUUCGGAAAUGGGGGAAACCCUGACCGAGCGACGCCGCGUGCGAGAUGAAGGCCUUCGGGUUGUAAAUCGCUGUCAGAGGGGAGGAAAUGCCGGGAAGUAAUUCAUAAUCAACUCGGUUUGACCUAGCCUCAGAGGAAGGACGGGCUAAGUUCGUGCCAGCAGCCGCCGUAA
Molecule: ribosomal RNA, 489 nt
Filed under: uncultured bacterium
Lineage: Bacteria
Description: partial 16S ribosomal RNA
Rfam family: Bacterial small subunit ribosomal RNA
Source: RNAcentral